AGAGUUUGAUCAUGGCUCAGAACGAACGCUGGCGGCGUGCUUAACACAUGCAAGUCGAGUGCGCGUGCCGUAGCAAUACGGUAUGGCGCACGGCGCACGGGUGCGUAACACGUGGGCAAUCUGCCCUUCGAUGGGGAAUAACUCCGGGAAACCGAAGCUAAUUCCGCCUAACAUUCCUUGGACCCCGGUUCGAGGAUUCAAAGCCGCAAGGCGUCGAAGGAGGAGCCCGCGCACGAUUAGCUAGUUGGUAGGGUAACGGCCUACCAAGGCUUUGAUCGUUAGCUGGUCUGAGAGGAUGGCCAGCCACACUGGAACUGAGACACGGUCCAGACUCCUACGGGAGGCAGCAGUGGGGAAUCUUGCACAAUGGGCGAAAGCCUGAUGCAGCGACGCCGCGUGGGGGAUGAAGCAUCUCGGUGUGUAAACCCCUUUCGACCGGGAAGAAUGCCUCGCAAGAGGACGGACGGUACCGGUAUAAGAAGCCCCGGCUAACUACGUGCCAGCAGCCGCGGUAAGACGUAGGGGGCCAGCGUUGUUCGGAAUUACUGGGUGUAAAGGGUUCGUAGGCGGUGUAGCAAGUCGGGAGUGAAAUCUCUGGGCUUAACCCAGAGGCUGCUUCCGAAACUGCUGUGCUGGAGUGUGGGAGAGGCGCGUGGAAUUGCAGGUGUAGCGGUGAAAUGCGUAGAUAUCUGCAGGAACACCCGUGGCGAAAGCGGCGCGCUGGACCACUACUGACGCUGAGGAACGAAAGCUAGGGGAGCAAACAGGAUUAGAUACCCUGGUAGUCCUAGCCCUAAACGAUCAGGACUUGGGGUGCCACCCGUUCGGGUGUCGUCCCGGAGCUAACGCGUUAAGUCCUGCACCUGGGGAGUACGGUCGCAGACUGAACUCAAGGAUUGACGGGGCCCGCACAGCGGUGGACAUGUGGUCAUUCGACGCUACGCGAGGACCUUACCUGGGCUCGAAUGCUGGUGACCAGCUGU
This 983-nucleotide ribosomal RNA is filed under the name uncultured bacterium. RNAcentral's name for it is "bacterial SSU rRNA". It matches the Rfam family "Bacterial small subunit ribosomal RNA", at positions 8 to 1002 of the family's 1533-position model. The record is from RNAcentral.